UGUGGCGGUUUAGGUGGAAGCAGCGGUGGAGGAGGAGGAUGAGGUAGCCAACACUGUAUAUAUAUAUAUAUUUAUAUAUAUAUAUAUAUAUAUUUAUUUUUAAUUGGGAUAGCCCCCAAAAUAUUGAGAAAUAUAAAAAAAGACAACUCUGUUCCGCAGAUUAGCUGUUGACAUUAUAGUUUCACAGGCACUUUGUUGACUCUAGAGAACGUCACGCCAAUCGCACAUCCCUGUGACGGCGACUUUGCAUUUGGAUAUCAUCCAUUUCAACGUUCGAUGCAAGUUUCUGCGCCUACUAUGGUGACCACGGGUAACGGGGAAUCAGGGUUCCAUUCCGUACAGCGACCCUGAGAAACGGCUACCACAUGCGAAGAAGGCAGCAGGUGCACAAAUGACCCACUCCCGACACGGGAAGGUAGUGACGACA
RNAcentral lists this ribosomal RNA (427 nucleotides) under Pelobates cultripes (western spadefoot toad). It matches the Rfam family "Eukaryotic small subunit ribosomal RNA", at positions 67 to 475 of the family's 1831-position model. Lineage: Eukaryota; Metazoa; Chordata; Amphibia; Anura; Pelobatidae. The record is from RNAcentral.